UACGUAGGGUGCAAGCGUUAAUCGGAAUUACUGGGCGUAAAGCGUGCGCAGGCGGUUGUGCAAGACCGAUGUGAAAUCCCCGGGCUUAACCUGGGAACUGCAUUGGUGACUGCAUCGCUCGAGUAUGGCAGAGGGGGGUAGAAUUCCACGUGUAGCAGUGAAAUGCGUAGAGAUGUGGAGGAAUACCGAUGGCGAAGGCAGCCCCCUGGGUCAAUACUGACGCUCAUGCACGAAAGCGUGGGGAGCAAACAGG
RNAcentral lists this ribosomal RNA (253 nucleotides) under uncultured bacterium. RNAcentral describes it as "partial 16S ribosomal RNA". It matches the Rfam family "Bacterial small subunit ribosomal RNA", at positions 524 to 776 of the family's 1533-position model. The record is from RNAcentral.